This 186-nucleotide microRNA precursor is filed under the name Glycine soja. RNAcentral's name for it is "MIR530 microRNA precursor family". It matches the Rfam family "MIR530 microRNA precursor family". Lineage: Eukaryota; Viridiplantae; Streptophyta; Magnoliopsida; Fabales; Fabaceae. The record is from Rfam by way of RNAcentral.
GCCGAUAUGUUGCCUUUAUCUGCAUUUGCACCUGCACUUUAAGUACUCGGUUUCUCUGUUGUGACAUAUAAAUAAUAUAACUAUGUCAGUUGAGGACUGAAGAGAUCAAUAUAUUAUUAUAUAAUAUGGGAAUAGAGGGACCGAGAACGAGGUGCAGGUGCAUCUGCAGGUGAAUGCCAUAUUGGA